Molecule: ribosomal RNA, 609 nt
Filed under: uncultured fungus
Lineage: Eukaryota; Fungi
Description: eukaryotic LSU rRNA
Rfam family: Eukaryotic large subunit ribosomal RNA
Source: RNAcentral
ACCCGCUGAACUUAAGCAUAUCAAUAAGCGGAGGAAAAGAAACCAACAGGGAUUGCCUUAGUAACGGCGAGUGAAGCGGCAAAAGCUCAAAUUUGAAAUCGGCCUCCAGGUCGAGUUGUAAUUUGUAGAUUGUAUCUUGAGAGCGGAUUAAAGUCUGUUGGAACACAGCGCCUUAGAGGGUGACAGCCCCGUAAAAUCUAUUCUCAUUGUAAGAUACUUUCGAAGAGUCGAGUUGUUUGGGAAUGCAGCUCUAAGUGGGAGGUAAAUUCCUUCUAAAGCUAAAUAUUGACGAGAGACCGAUAGCGAACAAGUACUGUGAAGGAAAGAUGAAAAGCACUUUGAAAAGAGAGUGAAAAAGUACGUGAAAUUGUUAAAAGGGAAGGGUAUUGAAUCAGACUUGGUGCUGUUGUUCAACUGUGUUUCGGCACAGUGUACUCAGCAGUACUAGGCCAAGGUGGGGUGUUUGGGAGUGAAAAAGAAGUUGGAACGUAACUCUUCGGAGUGUUAUAGCCUACUUUCAUAGCUCCUCAGGCGCCUCAGGACUGCGCUUCGGCAAGGACCUUGGCAUAAUGAUUCUAUACCGCCCGUCUUGAAACACGGACCAAGGAG